This 253-nucleotide ribosomal RNA is filed under the name uncultured bacterium. Its description in RNAcentral is "partial 16S ribosomal RNA". It matches the Rfam family "Bacterial small subunit ribosomal RNA", at positions 524 to 776 of the family's 1533-position model. The record is from RNAcentral.
UACGUAGGGGGCUAGCGUUGUCCGGAAUCAUUGGGCGUAAAGAGCGUGUAGGCGGUCCGGUAAGUCCGCUGUGAAAGUCGGGGGCUCAACCCUCGAAUGCCGGUGGAUACUGUCGGGCUAGAGUACGGAAGAGGCGAGUGGAAUUCCUGGUGUAGCGGUGAAAUGCGCAGAUAUCAGGAGGAACACCUAUUGCGAAGGCAGCUCGCUGGGACGUAACUGACGCUGAGGAGCGAAAGCAUGGGGAGCGAACAGG